RNAcentral lists this long non-coding RNA (303 nucleotides) under Olea europaea (common olive). RNAcentral's name for it is "long non-coding RNA (OEUR_LNC012185)". The record is from RNAcentral. Lineage: Eukaryota; Viridiplantae; Streptophyta; Magnoliopsida; Lamiales; Oleaceae.
CUAAAGCCAACUGGUUUGGGAGUCACCGGCCUAAAACUCGUUACAUGGGUUAUAUAGAAAGCAAAUGAGAAGAUGAUGAAAAAAAAAAGAAUUUCAGAGAAUUAGAGAAAAGUGAGAAAAACAAAAUAGAGACAAAAACAUGAAGAAAAGCCCUUUUGGACAUUUGGUGGAAGAAACUAUACCUUUGAGGCAAGGCAAGUAGCCUAAUUUAAUCUUGAGUGUCGAAGCAAUCAAAACUUAGGAGAGCCUUCACUGGUUAACAUGUAAACUUGUGAUAGUGAGAUUAAGCCAAACUACGAGAGG